CCUACGGGAGGCAGCAGUGAGGAAUAUUGGUCAAUGGGCGCGAGCCUGAACCAGCCAAGUCGCGUGAGGGAGGACGGCCCUACGGGUUGUAAACCUCUUUUGCCGGGGAGCAACGGGCGUCACGUGUGGCGCCACUGAGAGUAACCGGAGAACAAGCAUCGGCUAACUCCGUGCCAGCAGCCGCGGUAAUUCGGUGGAUGCGAGCGUUAUCCGGAUUUAUUGGGUUUAAAGGGUGCGUAGGCGGAUCGUUAAGUCAGUGGUCAAAUUGAGGGGCUCAACCCCUUCCCGCCAUUGAAACUGGCGAUCUUGAGUGGAAGAGAAGUAUGCGGAAUGCGUGGUGUAGCGGUGAAAUGCAUAGAUAUCACGCAGAACCCCGAUUGCGAAGGCAGCAUGCCGGCUUCCGACUGACGCUGAAGCACGAAAGCGUGGGGAUCGAACAGGAUUAGAUACCCUGGUAGUC
RNAcentral lists this ribosomal RNA (460 nucleotides) under uncultured bacterium. RNAcentral describes it as "partial 16S ribosomal RNA". It matches the Rfam family "Bacterial small subunit ribosomal RNA", at positions 338 to 795 of the family's 1533-position model. The record is from RNAcentral.